UGACGGCAUUGUGCUCUAGUCACGGCCAGUGCUGAUGGCUGAAAAAUUCUCUGUCCUCUGGCCAAACGUGGGGGCAGAGCAGCAGUAACAACCCGGUGCUGCAAUGUCUGCCCCCUGGCAGGUGGAGGGAUUGCCCUGGUGCAUAAAUACGUUCAUGAGUUUGCCUGUUAGCUGUAUGAAAAGCUGAGCCAAUGCCUUUCAUGCAGUUAGUUAUCCCCGUGUUUCCUUUCUGCAAUUAAGGAUGUGGGUCAUCUUGCAGAGUACAAGAUCAGGCUGAUGGAUGUGCCUGUGCUGAGUGGGCAGAAGUCAGUACCGAUGAGCUAUGUAUACCACGGAUUUCAGAGUGAGGGUACAUCCCAAGGAAAAUUAUUUCAGUGCUAUAAAGGUGCAGAAGUAAGACAUCUGGAAAAAGAAAGAAAAGCACCUUUUCCCUGUGUCCCAAUGUCUCAGCCUGUAGCAUGUGAUACUGAAAUAAGGCACAGAGGUGAAGAAAGCCUAAGGCAAAGAGGGAAGAACACAAAGGGAAAGAUGUUUACACUUAAUGAAAAACCAGUCAAAGAAUUGUUCUUGUCUGAGGAUUUUAAAGAGUGAUGGGUUUGGUAGCCAAAAUUAUGCCUAACUACUCUUUUUUUGUAGUAUAUUUGCCUUCUCAUUCUGAGAAAGGUACUAGACAAGUUCUUAUUCUUGAACACUUGUGUGUGAGUCUUAGUAUGAAAAUAUGAGCAAUGAGCCCAGCAUCCUAAACCCUAUUAUAUUUUCAUAAAUAAGAUUCCAAGACCUUCCUGAAAGUAUAAAGGAAUGUUCUGUGGCAUAACUGAGCCUGUUUGUUCUUGGAGGAUUUGUAAACUGGAGAUUUCAUUCUCCUCUUGUGUUUGUGUGAAGUCAGAACCCUUUAUGUCUGCACUAGUGGAAGUAGUCUGAGAGGGGACUCAGACCCUGUAGCUUUACAGAGACAAAGAAUAAUAGAAUCCCUCAAUAACCAGAUUAAAGAAAGGAUCAAAAGUCUGUAAGAAAAAAAGAAAAAAAGGAAAGAGAUGUUGAGAGAAGGUGGUGGUGGAGCAAAAGAGGCAGGAGGCAAAGGCAUAUGCCAAAAGCUGAGUAAUGACAGCAAAAUACUACAGAAGUAGGUUUGAGCUGUGAUGGGGAAAACCUGAAUUACUUCUAGGUACAGCAGAUAAAUUCAAAAGAUUGCAAAGUAUGGGAAAGAAUGAAAACUUAGAAACCAAAUGACAUCCCAUCUGUGUACUUAAAUCUUGAAUACCACAAAAUCCAGCCAAUUUAAUCUCUAAUAAAUUCAGGGAAGCAUAAUUACGUUACCUGCUUCUUCUUGGGACACUCAUUUGAUCCGAGCAGGAUGUCUGUAUGUAUAGCAAAUUUGCUGAAAUGCAUCUGUUACCGAAAUCUCAGAAUAAAGAACUUAUCGACACCAAUGUGAUGUAGAUAAGCAGACACUUCUUUAUUAACGGCCGGGUGCACGAGUGAGUCAUCUCACGAUGGACGCACACCAAGUUUCAAAACCAUACACCUUCUAUAGGACUUACUCAUACAUAUUCAUUAAGUAAUCAUGCAUAAACAUAGUAUUUCCCAAAAAUCAUUAACAUACUCCCCUCCCAUAUCCAAUUCUGCGCAGUAAAGGUUAGAAAGGUCUAGAAAUGGGUCUGGGGUAUUAUUCGGGUAGGUGGUACAUGAGUCGGUGGUCGCGAUACCCCCUGCCAGAAUUACCUUUUACCUACAUUCACCGUUUCUUGGCAGGUAACUAUGAGUUGCUUAAUUCGACUUCCCCCAGUUCCCAUUAAUUCUACAUUUUGACAUCUCAAUACAUUCUCCUAGGCUACACGUAAACACUGUAUCCAAUCAUGCAUUCAAUCAUGAAACUGUUAUCUAAGUUCUAAGCAUUCCUACUAGGUGAUUCUGACCCUUGGUACGGGGCUGUACAGAGGAUUUCAUAGUAGCUGUCAGUUGCUAUGCAAACACAAAUUCCACUAAAAUAUUUCCUAUAACUAUAUUCCUAAUCAAAUGUGGUUAAUUAAUUCUAACUUAUAGCAGAUAUGUAACACGUCAUGACAGGAUCUGUAUAUGAUGUUAUGACAGAGUUAGCUGAUACUGCCAUCAUGGGCAAUUUAAGUAACAUUAAAUACAUGAAGAAAGACAACUGGAAAAGCUGCAGGAUGUUGAUGGGCGCAGCAAGUACCACUCCUUGUGACCUCUUCUUAGCUUACUUUUUAAGGUCACAAUGAGAGAGAAAUCAUCAAUCUCUUCAUAUUGGACUAAACCACAGCACAAAUGAAGGUUGAUAUUCAGCCUUUGUCCCCUCAUGCAGAAUCUCUAUUACCAUACAGGAUUAUAGUAUGACUUGCUUUACUUAAUUUGUGUUUGUUAUCAAGUAAUCAGAAAUACUGGCAAAGUUUUUCGCUGUCUUAAGAUCCCUAGAUGAGACAACUGACUUCAGUGGAGCCAGAAUCUCACUGUCUAGUCCUGGUCGAAGGACCCUGAGUGCACAAGUAAAACCCUGGCAUGCGGUGUGCACACUUCUGAGGCAGAGCGUUGCGUUUUGUGAUGUCCAGCUGAUAGAAGGCAACACGUUAUAGCACAUACCCUUCACCCACACCUCUGGGCCUUCUGAUGCUACUUAGAUCAUUCCUUUCCCUCCUGGAACUUUCACUCAACAAAUUUGCAUUUCCUAAUCAGUUCACUUCCCUGCAGCAGUGGGAUUUAUUAUUUGUAAGUAAUGUCAUACUGUAUCUUUGAUACAAGCUUUUGCAAUCUCUUUGUUGUGCAAAUACAGCCAUAUAACUCAACUAAACUAAUUGGCUUCGGUAGGAUUAUCCUAGGAGAUAUAAGUGCCACAUUAUAUGAAUAAAUACUGCUCUCCAAGAGGCAGAUUCUGCAGUCCAGUACAACUUUAUUUUUUGAAGGAAAAGGGGUAGCAGCACAAGUCAGUAGUUAAACCAAGAUGAUAAUCACUUUCCUGUUCAGUUUAUCUGCAGACAUGAGAGACUCAGCAACACUAUUAACAAUACACCAUAUUCAUAUUUACAUCUCAAAUUGUCGUUCCUUUUCAUGUGGAGGAAGGGAGAAGGAUUGUGUUGCGUUCUGCAGAUAGGAGAGCAGCCACAGAAGAAGUGAAGGGAUUUAGGGUAACCCGGCAUCCCAUGGGAAGGGUCAUCUGGCUUCCAGCUUCUAGCCAAGGGUGUCUUAGCCAGAAGGCAGUAAUGUCAACAGGGACUCUGUCCAGCUUGUACAAUGCAUUUCAAAAUCUUUUAGGCACCUAUUAAAAAGGAGUACUGAAGUGGUAAGAUAAACCAGGUGCUAUAGCUGGUAUUGCAAACAGCAUUUUUGACAACCAAAGUGAAAACAGAAGCAUUCCUUGAACUCUUCAAUAUUUUUUUCCAGCCGUCUUUCACUGUGUGAAACUCUGUUAUUAUGUGGGGGUGGAUUCAGCAAUUUCCAAGAUAUUUUUAACUUGGGUAGUUUUGCUGGUAAGUGGAAAGUCACAAGUUAAAUCAGAAGCCAGCAUUUGAUGAAGGCUUCUUGUUUUAAGUAGGGGUGCCAUGUUGCUAAAACUUUUUUAUAAUUUAGAUGGGAAUACUGCUGCAGUUGUUGAUGUUCCUUCCAUUUGGAGUUUCCUAGAUGGCAAUUUACUAUUGUUUUUGUUUAGAAGUGUGGGAAAAUGGUAAUUGUGAUAACUACCUUCAGCAGGAAAUAAAGAAAACUGCUGAUUACUGCAUAGAGUUCUGUAUCUGCAGUAAAUUCAAACGGGGUGAGACUUUGCAAACAUUUGGUGUUUCAGGGUGACUGUGAUGAUGUGAGUAGAAAACCACAUGUAUUUUGAUUUAAUUCACAUCCACUCACAUGAAGUCGAUGAAAGUACUGCGUUCAUUCUUGAGAGGGAGACCCUUUUUUACCUUUAAAGUACUGAAGCUGCUGAGCAAAACAAAUAAUCCUUUCUACAGUAUAAAAUAUUAAACAUCAGCAAUUUCCUUUUUCUUAUGUCUCAUCAUUCUCAGAAGAUACCCUAGGAAGAUGUUGGAAAUUAUGCUCUUCCAAUUAAGUUGCAUGCACUCCAACAGUAUUCAGCAAAAGGCUGCUUAAUGUCCAGAGACAAAAAACAUCUAAUUAAUCAGUCUUUGUGCACAGAAGAGAGCAUUAUAUUUUUUUAAAGAAAUUACAUAAAAACUGGAAACUGGUGAUGUGUUCAAAAGGAAGAUACAGCGGUGGGGUGCUGUAUGAGCUUCACUUUCUAAAUGAUGUUGAGCUUUUUUUCUGAACUAUCCAGGACAUGUCCAGUAAAAGCAAACUAAAAUCUGCAAAUUUUACCCUGUAAAGAAAAGAUUAUUCUUUGUCUUUCAGACUCAAAUAAAUAAUUGUAAUAUCUAACUACUGAUAUUUUUUAUAUUGUUAUCUUUGUAUCCUGAUAAUAAUUUUCUUCAUUGUAGGUUCUCACUCUUAUUUACGUUAGUCUGGCGAGUUUUAUGAAGUGAAUGAGUUCCUGAAUGAAAACACAACCACUUAUUUCUGAAGAUCUAGAAUAAGAGCUUGAAUUCUGAAUUGCAGGGAGAGUAGGUUCAUAUCAACUCACUUGUGUGUAAUCAGUAAGUUAGCAAAACAUGAAUGCUACUGAUUUCUUCAUUCAUAUUUCUUUUAUCUGGCUUGCUCCCCCCUCCCCCUUCAUUUGCCAUGUUGUCUGUACCAGUGACUAAGGAUCACUAGCUGGAGAGGAUGGCAGUCACCUGCAUUUCAAGUUUUCAGCUGCCUGUGCUCUUUGAACCAUGGCGUCAGUGUUAACAGCGUUAGUCCUUCAUCUGUCAGCAUUAGAUGGGCUGGAUGCUCAUAUUCUAGGGCUCUUAGGAACAGAAUCUCCCUUUGCUUUGUCAGAGUUUGCUCCUUUUGACCCAUGGCUUACUCUCUUUGACCAGCGGAAUCUCUGAAUACCUUACAUCUGAUUGCCUCUUGGCUGCUGCUUGUCAUUUCUGGACUGUGGAUAUCUGGUCCGGCUGUCUCACGUUUUUGAGGCAUGCUAGAAUAGGAAAAGAUGCAAACUGUUUCUCCCCUGAUCACGUACAGGAAAUGAAAUCUGACAGCACCUUGGUGGAGCACACUGCAUCAUGUCAAGAAGUAGAGAAUCUUGCUCAUAGCUUGUGAAGAGGUGUUUUUUCAUCCUUCUAUGUAAAGCAGUGCUAUAUAAAUGUCACGUUACACUGAAUACAUACCAAGAAUUUGACUAAUAUAAUGUGAUUAUAGUCGGAAUUAGCACACCAAAAAUUCUAUGCCCCAGUGGGAAAGGCUGUUAGUAUAAUAGCGACUAGGAGGUCCAUGAGGAGCAGAGCAAAACCAGAGCUUCUUGCUUACAUUCCUGGCAUCUUCGGGAGACAGAGAAGUAGCUGUUGUGAACUAGAGGGGAACGUUUAAGAGGUGGGCUGAUAGCAGCAUUUUCUGAGCUGCUGAAAGGAUGCCUGUGGAGUCCUGUGGGAUCCACCCUCUUUACCCAAUACCUCUUGCCAGACCAGGCAAGGGAUCCCACGUGGUGGUGUGGGGACAGUCUGAGAUAUUAACUCUUGGAGAUUAAGAGGAUGAUGCAGUUUGCUUUGAGCAUUGCAUCUGGAAGAAGUCCAGUGAUUCACAGUGCGGGGAGAAUGCGAAGAAGAGACAAGACAGGCAGCUUGCAUUUUCUGACUGUUGAGUGGCUCUGUAGCUCUGAGACCAUCCUGCCACAGCAAAUCCUCAAAUCUGACAGCUUUUCUCUUUCAGGCAUGGACUACUCUUUGAUCCUAUAAAUUUUAUCUUGGUUUUCAUUAAACACCCCUGUAAGUGGCAAGUAGUGUAGCUCAUUGCCAGUGAGUCAGCAGAAUGCAAGUGUCAUCAGCUAAAUAUCCAGGAAUGUUACAUUCGAAAGUGACAAAACCCCAUAAGGUAUUUUCUCUGGACUUUGUAGUUUGCACUCAGUAGCAGGCUUUAUCACACAAACCCAGCUGUGGUUUUUGGGGUUUUAACCUCUUCUAGGAGAGACUGCCUAUCUUUUGAUUUUCUCCCUUUUUUUUAAAUCCUGUAUUUACAAGCAGAGCUGGUAAAAUAAAAGCACAUUCACUGGGGAAGGUUUGGAAAACCUAGAGUAAUCUCAUUGAGAUGAGUGAUGGUUUCAGACCUUACUGUCAAAAUAUGGAGUCCAAAAAUCUGUCUCCUUCUCACAGAACUUCAGGGCCAAAUAUUUCCAUGGCAUAAAUAGAUGUAAAUCCACUACAGAAAGUGCAGUUAUAUCCAUUCACCAAUGGUGGUUUUUUUUGUUGAUAGCAUCUUUCAAUAUUACAAUUAGCAGUCUUUAAAGAGAUCAAAACCUCCUUUGGUGCUUCAGUGCAAAUGCUUUAUUUUUCUUCUCUUCUGACUAAUUGUCUCCAUCCUGACGCCUCUGAGUGAAUUAAGUAAUGUGUCAUACACAUUUUAGCUUUUCUCUUUACUUCCUUUCUGACACUUGUAGGCAGUACAGAGUUGGUUCUCUCCUUCAUUUCUGAAUGCCCACACUUUCAUGGCUUUCUGAUAGAGAUGUCAGACUGGAUGAUAGUUGUUUUUACUUCAGGUGGAACAUGAUGGGGGUUUUGGUUCCUAAUGUGCCCAUUCCACAUACCAAGACUCAGUUCCGCAACAGUUUGUAGAUGCCAAACUCUGUUAGGUGGUAAUUGUCGAUGGGACAUGAGGUACCAAAGAAAGCAUUCACAGCUCUGUAGCUGUGACUUACUGGUUUCCUGUAUGGAUGAGCUUUGUUCAUGUGAUUGAAAUUUUUGUUCCAAACAGAGCCAAGUGAAGGAGAUUAAAUUCUCAGCCAGGUGAGACCUACUUGUGUGUCUCAGGAGAGACAGUUUGGACCAAUGUCAAAAUGGCUGGUGAACUGAGAUGCUGUUUUGCCAAUAGAUGAGGUCAGCACAAAGGAAUCAGACACCUAGUUAAAGAGCAGAGCAUUCCAGCCAUCACUCCAGGAAGAAUGAAAGAGGAGAGGACAGAGCAGAUCACGUACCCAGUGAACCUGAAAGUAAACAGUAGCUAACUCUUCGUCCUUUUACAGUGGUUAUCUCUCCUCUGUCAGCAGAGUAGGCUUUUUAUAACAAAUCCUGCAUCAAGUUGCUGAGAUAGGCUAGCAAGUGGGUAGUUUCUGUUUCUGCCAAAGGAACACAAUAUAUUGCUUUCAUAAUCUCUUAGAUGUGACAUUAUUCCUUCAACAUCAAACCUUUGUUGGAAAUUACUGGUUUUAGAAGUGACCUAAGGAUGCCAUCUUCAAGCUUGAUGUUGUAUAUUUGACAGCACUUCAGGUAUAAGAAGUACUGCCAUUUCCUUCUGGCUGGUCUUUUGUGUGUGUGUAUGUGUUUUUCACUAGGCAAUGGAGGCACAGAAAAAAAAUUUUCAAAUGGAAAGUAUUUUUACAAAAUCACAAGUGUUGCUGGCUCAUGAGUAUUCCAGGGCACAUGAAGUUCCUGGAAACAUUUUCAAACACAUUUUUGUGUCACCCCUUUUUGGUGGCUGAUAAAAUGAAUUUGUAUCUUUGAAAAGUCCCAUUACUUGGACUCCUUGGGUGUUGCAGAGCUUUUUGUGUGCUGUAUUAGUUUAGGUUCCUAAACAAUAGCCUAACAUUAGAUAUCCACUUAUUAAAAAUACCCAAACUCUUCAUCAUGAGUUUCACAUGUCAACAAGCAAGCCAGUCCAUUUUGUAGAGGACUAGUAGUAGUGCCUGCACACUGUACAGCUGUGCAAGAGUGCUCUUCGAUCUGCCAGUGCAGAGAUAAGACCCUGCUAAAAGGAAGUAUUUACUUUAGAAGCUCUCUUUGAUGGGUUCUGUCAUUUAUGAGAGUUGAGCUCUGUCUGCUAAAUUCCACUAAACAAGGUAUCAGCUUUUUAGCACGAGGCUUUGGGGUGCUAUAUCCUUACACAUUACAAAAGGCUUGGUACUAAAUGUGACAAGGCAGCCCAGUUUACAAAUGCAGUGAAUUUUAUCUGCCAUGCAGUGCAAUUUGGGCUUUCAAGGCUGUAGAGGCUCUUUCAGCUUUGUCCUUAGAUCAAGGUUAUAAAUUUGAUAUGUGUGUGUGCACCUAGGAUAUAGAAAGAUAAGGAACAAAUUCUUCACUGGCCCACCCCUUAAUGUCAAGAACAUUCUCAUUGACUUCAAUGACCAGCAAUCACCCUCUGCCAAUACCAUGUAGAUACUGUUUUCUAUAUCCAUGUUAUUCAGUGUCACCCCAUCAAUGUUGCACCCAUUCUGUUUGCUACCACAUUAGUUCUGAAGGAAUUCAGUGAUGUGCCGGUCGUGGUUCUGCGCAGUCACAAGAGGAUGUACAUGCCCCAGGGAUGGGGUACAGUCUUCAUAAAGCCUGAGGCUCUGCUUAAGGUUGGUUUAUCUCUGUGGGUUUCAACAACAUGGUGACUCCUGUCUAUUUCUCAGCUACAGUUAUUGAAACCAUGACAAGGUGUGCACUGGUACAGCACCCAGAACUCCACAGAACAAUCUGGGGUCAGAAUGUUAGAGCAAAUUGGUUUUUCACUAGACUUUACACAAGAAAAUUAUGUGCUAUUUCCCUUGUUUCCUCCCAGAUUUGUACUACGGGUACACUUCACUACCACCUGAAUUUCCCAAGAAAUUCACACUGCUGGCACAGCUAUAUCAUUAAGAGGCUCCUGCAGCUGGUAAGAAAAUGACACUGCACCUAAACCCGUCGACUUCUGAGACUCUCCUUGGAUAGUAACGCUUCUUGUAUUGAGCCAUGAGAUCCAUAUGAAGGUUGACAUUGCUCCCUUGGUUGCUGACGUUACAGUUGUGUUUCAAACAUUACCUUAUCACACAGGCAUAUUUCUCCUGAUGUUUGACAAAAAGCAGGAAGCUAUUUCUGAUAUGACAAAACUAUUUUCCUGACUCUGAGGGACCCUGGAGGAGUAAACAGAUGUCCUACAGACUGUAUGUGCACUCUAAUAAAAAUGCAGCAAUCACC
Molecule: long non-coding RNA, 8966 nt
Organism: Falco peregrinus (peregrine falcon)
Lineage: Eukaryota; Metazoa; Chordata; Aves; Falconiformes; Falconidae
Exons: 3
Source: RefSeq, a predicted model, not a curated record